This 256-nucleotide long non-coding RNA is filed under the name Mytilus galloprovincialis (Mediterranean mussel). The record is from RNAcentral. Lineage: Eukaryota; Metazoa; Mollusca; Bivalvia; Mytilida; Mytilidae.
CCUUUAAGGCUUAGAAAUUUGGAUUUUCUCAGUGAAUGUAUAGUGGGUUGAGACUGAUUAUGUAGCAAUUAAAAUAUAUGGUGGUGGCACUAUAUAUUUUAGUUGUUACCUGAUAUAUAAAUAAGCUCUACCCACUACACAUUAGAAUUUUUUAUUUUCUCUCAUUUUUUUUCAAAUUUAAUUAUUUUCAAAAGUUGUCUUGUUACUCAUGAAAAUAAUAUUUCUGUGAGGUCAUUUUCAGUCGCAGGAAAUCGCG